This 171-nucleotide ribosomal RNA is filed under the name uncultured bacterium. RNAcentral's name for it is "partial 16S ribosomal RNA". It matches the Rfam family "Bacterial small subunit ribosomal RNA", at positions 335 to 527 of the family's 1533-position model. The record is from RNAcentral.
UUUUUACGGGAGGCAGCAGUGGGGAAUAUUGCACAAUGGGGAAACCCUGAUGCAGAGACGCCGCGUGAGUGAAGAAGUACUUCGGUAUGUAAAGCUCUAUCAGCAGGGAAGAAAUGACGGUACCUGAGUAAGAAGCCCGGCUAACUACGUGCCAGCAGCCGCGGUAAUAAA